GAUGAAGAACGUAGCGAAAUGCGAUACGUAAUGUGAAUUGCAGAAUUCAGUGAAUCAUCGAAUCUUUGAACGCAUAUUGCGCUCUCUGGUAUUCCGGAGAGCAUGCUUGUUUGAGUAUCUGUAAACACCUCAACUUCCAUAUCUUUUUUUGAAAUGGGAGUUGGACUUGAGUGAUCCCAACGCUUUUCCUCACCGAAAAGUGGCGGGUUACUUGAAAUGCAGGUGCAGCUGGACUUUUCUCUGAGCUAUAAGCAUAUCUAUUUAGUCUGCCUAAAAAACAGAUUAUUACCUUUGCUGCAGCUAACAUAAAGGAGAUUAGUUCUUGUGCUGACUGAUGCAGGAUUCACAAAGACAGCUUCGGCCGACUUUGUAAACUCGAUCUCAAAUCAAGUAAGACUACCCGCUGAACUUAAGCAUAUCAAUAAGCGGAGGA
RNAcentral lists this unclassified non-coding RNA (433 nucleotides) under soil metagenome. RNAcentral's name for it is "partial contains 5.8S ribosomal RNA, internal transcribed spacer 2, and large subunit ribosomal RNA". The stretch from base 1 to 120 matches the Rfam family "5.8S ribosomal RNA", at positions 35 to 154 of the family's 154-position model. The record is from RNAcentral.